Long non-coding RNA from Oncorhynchus keta (chum salmon), 918 nucleotides. RefSeq lists it as uncharacterized. The transcript is spliced from 3 exons. The record is from RefSeq and is a predicted model, not a curated record. NCBI's taxonomy places the organism in Eukaryota, Metazoa, Chordata, Actinopteri, Salmoniformes, Salmonidae.
GACCAAUCAUAUAUAGAGUUCCAAACAUCUCUGUCAAUAACAGCUAGUUUUCAGUUUUCCCUUCCACACUCAGACCACUCCCAAACGGUCAUAGCAAAAUGAUUGCUUGACAAAUUGCUCUUUGACCAUUUGGAUUGAAAACAACCACAGUAAGGUACUUAAUUUUAACCCACAAAUGAUUGAAUUGUGAGAUAAAAACAGCUGCAUUGGACUGUAAAAAAAAAUGGAAUAAAAAAAACUUGACAUAGAUCGAGCUCAGGCGUCAUUCCUGUUCCGAAGGUAGAUCCAGCUCAGGCGUCAUUCCUGUUCCGAAGGUAGAUCCAGCUCAGGCGUCAUUCCUGUUCCGAAGGUAGAUCCAGCUCAGGCGUCAUUCCUGUUCCGAAGGUAGAUCCAGCUCAGGCGUCAUUCCUGUUCCGAAGGUAGAUCCAGCUCAGGCGUCAUUCCUGUUCCGAAGGUAGAUCCAGCUCAGGCGUCAUUCCUGUUCCGAAGGUAGAUCCAGCUCAGGCGUCAUUCCUGUUCCGAAGGUAGAUCCAGCUCAGGCGUCAUUCCUGUUCCGAAGGUAGAUCCAGCUCAGGCGUCAUUCCUGUUCCGAAGGUAGAUCCAGCUCAGGCGUCAUUCCUGUUCCGAAGGUAGAUCCAGCUCAGGCGUCAUUCCUGUUCCGAAGGUAGAUCCAGCUCAGGCGUCAUUCCUGUUCCGAAGGUAGAUGUUGAUCGUGCACCUGCCGCUUAUUCGAGCCUACUCUUGCCAGGCUUGUACAGUACCUGCGCUUUCAUGUCGCCCAUGGCUAGUCGAACGGCGAACGCUUCGUUGAGACGAUGCUGAAACAUCAAUCCAUGGGCGAGUCAGUCCCACAUUCAAAGUUUAAAAAAUCUAAUCAAAAUGAAGGAAAUCAAAUCAAAAUUGAGGAAAAGUUCACCU